This 3682-nucleotide long non-coding RNA is filed under the name Homo sapiens (human). Its description in RNAcentral is "HSALNT0399564". The record is from RNAcentral. Lineage: Eukaryota; Metazoa; Chordata; Mammalia; Primates; Hominidae.
UUCUUCCAGAUACAGAAGUGAAGUUUGAUCUAUUUUUUAUUUUUAUUACUAUCGGCCACUAACUUAGUUGGUUUUUAAUGUAACACUUUGGCAGGCCUAAACCACAUGCAAACUGGGUAGUUAUCUGGAGCAAAUUUAAUUAAGAAUCAUUAUGUCCCCUGAAAGGACAACCAGAGUUUGUGCCUUCUCUAAAUACUUGGUCCAAAUCAAAACAUCAAUUGUCCUUUUCUUAAUGAAAAAAAAAAAACCUCAACUCCAUACUUUAUUCUGGUUUCAUUGAUUUUUCCCGAAUAACAUUUUUUCUGUUUCAACAUCCUAAUUGGGAUACCACAUUGUAUUGGUUUGUCAUGUCUUCCUAACUCCUCUGGACUGUGGCAGUUUUUCAAACUCUCCUUUUUUGGGGUAACCACAAAAGUUUUGAGGAGAGCUAGUCAGGUGAAAUGCCUUUCAAUUGGAUUUUUCUAAAUUUUUCUUUUCAUAGUUACACUUGAGUUAUUGUCUUCCCACAGAGAAAAGACCACAGAGGCAAAAUGGCAUUUUAAACACAUGAUAUCAAGUGUGCAUAUCAUCAACGUGACUUAUGACCAAUGACGUUAACCUCGACCAUCUGGCUAAUGUGCUGUUUGCCAACUUCUCCACUGUAAAGUUGCUUCUUUCUCCCUUUCCAUCCUGUAUUCUUUGGAAUCAAGAUGCUAAUUGUAGCCCACACUUAAGGAGUGGGGAGUUCUGUCUUUAACCAUAGUGAAGAAUUUUAUUUACUGGAAUUUCAUUUAAAGUUGGAGUGGGAAGGAGGAUGAUUCUCAGAAGAACAAUAGUGUAAAGAACAGAAGAACAAUACUGUAAAGCAUAAGGGGUGAGGGAGUUCCCAUAUUAUAAGCAUGAUGGGCAGAAAUAUUGCAGAGUAGGGAAUGAAGAAAUGGGAAGCCACAUGCUGGUGAAAGGAAGGUUUGGAAAAAGAGAGAAAAUUUAGCAGUUGUUCUCACUGAAAAAUUUUGUGAAGAGAUACCUAGAGAGAAUGUUGUGAAUGUUUUCUGAGCAACUCACUGUGAGAAGCCCCUAUACUACAUCUUUGAGAAAACUUACAGUAAAGAUUUACAUUCAUCUUCUAGGUACCAGAAACUACACUGUUAUCUUGUCCAGGCAAAAACUGGUCCACAAGAGAGUCCUAUCAUAUUUGGGUUGUACCAGCAAACAAUAAGUUGGGCUGGGUCUAGAUCUGAAAUGAAAGAUCUGUAAUCCAAAGACCAGAUCAAGCAUAUUGUUUAAUUUCUUCAACCUCAAGGAACUUAUAAAAUUGCUUAUAGUAGCAGAUUUUUGCAAUGGCAUCCAUUAGUUCCACAGCAGUUUCCCAUUAUUUAUCUAAACAUGCAAGGGGUAGAGUGGCUAAUAGUGGGAUCUUUGGACUGUCUUGAAGAUUGGACUCUUUUGUUAAUUUUGUAUUCCUCGAUUAUUGCUUAUACAUAUAUUGUACUCCAUUGUGACUCAUAUUUUUUGGUCAUUACUUUUUACUUACAUAUAACCCAUAACGUUUUUUAUGUAUGUUUCUACUGCAGAGAGAAAGAUUAUUCCCCCACUCAAUACCUAUUAACUGAUUGGCUGCUUUAUGGUUGCUAUUUCCAUUCUGCACACUUGUGUUGAAAGAUAAAGCUUCGAUAACUUACAAGGAGCAGUUUAGCAAGUUGAAAGAAACUAGAUGUAGGAUCCAUGUGUUUCCACAAAGGAUAUGCAGGCUUCAACUAGAAAGAUGAUUUAAGUGUUUAGGGAAGAAAUAAGCAUGUUCUAACAAGAGUUUUGCAGUCAGCAAAACAAGGUAUGUGGUAAAUAGGUCCUAUCUUGGGAAUUGCCAGAGCCCAGAGCUUGUGCUGUUGGCCCAUCCAAGGAAACCAGUUAAAUUAACUGUCUGGAAGGCAUCCACAGAGAUCCUUGGCUGGGAGGCAGAAGCAGGACAUGGAACAGGUGCCCCUUUCCACUAUUCCUGGGCACAAAGUCUCAUUUCCAGCACACGCUGUGGCAGCAGGAGAUGCAGUAAAUCAACCAAGCUUCAUUUCAUCUCAGAAGUCCUCUGUGUACUAAUAAUGCAGGGAAACUUAGCUCAUGAAGGAAAGAAAAAAUAAAUAAAUGCUGACGGUUGUUAGAGCUAGUCCCAGUGAUAAGCCUGGAACAGGCAAAUAUUCUUAGUGAUUCAGACAAUUACUAUUAAACAGAGGCCAGUUUCCAAGUGACGUUGUGGUGCCAAACACAGCUUUUAUCAUUUUUGAUGAGAUUUUUAUGAUGCUUGUUAUCUGCCAAUAUUAUUAAUGUUGUUAAUGACAUAAAAAAAUUAGCAUUUGCCACCUGUGUGCCAGAAGGCAGGCCUUCUUCCUUCUUUGGUCUUUGUUCUCACUAGUUUCAUAGGCCAUCUUUGCUUUGAGAAGGAGCAAAGUUGUCAGCCUAGACCUUGUUUGAGUUCUUGUCUGAAAUAUACUGGUCACCUAAGUGCAUAAUUCAAAGAAGCCUCCAGCUUGGUAGCUCCUGGGCCUCAGUCCUUCAAUUUGCCUUUUAAGACUGCUGGGAAAUAAUAGCAUUCAGUUAGCUGUUACUCUCACAUUAGAAAAGUAAAAUGAAGUAUUCCACAGAAAAAAAAUAAAAUAUUUUGUUUCAACAUCAAAAUCUUAAGUGGGAUUGGAUAUGAACCCUAGAAGAAGACCAUCUCUGGGAAAUCCCUAUUGCAAGGACAGAAGCAAUAAGAUUCUUAGCCAGAAAGAAGCGAUCCUUGGGCCAAAUGCAGUGCUGCCCCCAGUGGUCUGGAUAGCAAUGCUCUGUGAGACCAGCAGCUUUCAGUCUUGGGAAGAACUCAAAUCUCCAUCAGAUAAAAAUGUCUAAACUGGCCCAUACCCGUAUUAUCAUGGGGUGGACUUGGGUGCCGUGUGGACUGUGCAGGCCACAUUUGGGUUGGUUAAGUGUCUUAAUCUGCCCUGUACCCAUAGCUAAUGUAUCCUUAAGUGGGAAAGGAGAGACAGAUGAUAGAUAACUAAAUACAACUACAGUCUGCAUCAUUCACUAAAGCAAGUCAAGUGACCAACCCCAGAUCCAAGGAGUGUGGAAAUAGACUCUGCUCUAGACGCUACCUCAUAGAAAGAGGAAUUAUGAGAUCACCUGAAAAAGGAUACAUGAAUACAGGGUUGGGCAAAGAAUUAGGACAAAUGGUGCAAUCCAUCACUACCAGUUUAACAUCAUCUCUUUCAGAUUAACUCAGUCUCAUUUGGGCAAAUAAUUAAUCACUUUUUAUUCAAAUGCUCUAGAAGGAUUGUUAUCUCUUCCUUCUCAGUGGAUCUCACAACCUGAUCUUUCCUUCUAAUACAGUGUUUGGGAACAGAACAAGUAAGAAUGGACAGAGGAAUACCAUGUGCUGACUGACGAACGCCUGGGUUUCUGAACCAAUUGCCAUCAAGGGGAUUGGGAUUACCAUAAUUUUUGCUGAGACUAAGCCCCACCCCAGUAACCAAAGGCUUAUGGGUGGAAUGCAAGCUAUUGGAAGUAUUUGAAGAUGUGACCAAGGAAGCUAUGAGAAUUGGAAAUGAGGCAGUUGUUUAGAAACGGGCUGAUGUGCUUGUGGCAGUGUUUCAAGAACCCAGCUCCAUUCAUCCUAUGAUGCCACCAUCCUCAGCAUUUGACUUCCAUGGCUCCUGUAAGAGAAGAGAAC